AGUGAACGCUGGCGGUAGGCCUAACACAUGCAAGUCGAACGGCAGCACAGUAAGAGCUUGCUCUUACGGGUGGCGAGUGGCGGACGGGUGAGGAAUACAUCGGAAUCUACUUUUUCGUGGGGAUAACGUAGGGAAACUUACGCUAAUACCGCAUACGACCUACGGGUGAAAGCAGGGGAUCUUCGGACCUUGCGCGAUUGAAUGAGCCGAUGUCGGAUUAGCUAGUUGGCGGGGUAAAGGCCCACCAAGGCGACGAUCCGUAGCUGGUCUGAGAGGAUGAUCAGCCACACUGGAACUGAGACACGGUCCAGACUCCUACGGGAGGCAGCAGUGGGGAAUAUUGGACAAUGGGCGCAAGCCUGAUCCAGCCAUACCGCGUGGGUGAAGAAGGCCUGCGGGUUGUAAAGCCCUUUUGUUGGGAAAGAAAAGCAGCAGGUUAAGACCCCGCUGUUCUGACGGUACCCAAAGAAUAAGCACCGGCGAACUUCGU
This 490-nucleotide ribosomal RNA is filed under the name uncultured bacterium. RNAcentral's name for it is "partial 16S ribosomal RNA". It matches the Rfam family "Bacterial small subunit ribosomal RNA", at positions 29 to 506 of the family's 1533-position model. The record is from RNAcentral.